AGUGGGAUCUCAUUUUAUAAAGGAUUCUUUUCAACCGUGUUUUCAUCUAAUCUAUAUCUAUAUCUAUACUUCUAUACUUAUACAUUAUUUUCCCUAAAGUCUUGCCACGUGGCGGUCCUUCCUUUAUCAUUACCUUCUCCUCUCUUCUCUAAUUACAAUUGUUGCAGCCGCAUAAAACUUUUGAUCUUCCAAUCAAUUAAUGAACAAUCUUAAACCCACACUCUUCAUCUCCCCACCAAGGAGUUACUAACACAUGAUUAACUUUAAUAAUUACGAUCUUAAAUCCACACUCUUCAUCUCCCCAUCAAGAAGUUACUAAUGCAUCAUUAACUUUAAUAAUUAUAAUAAUCCACACAAUUAGCACCACUAAAACUCCAUCAUCAUCAUCUCCUCAUUCUCUGAAACCAAAUAUCACACUCCAACAAUGUCCUAUGUUACAAACCAACUCUUCUUUCUAUUAUUCUUAUUAUUAUUCUCGAACACGAGUACGAACCGGUCAACGCCAUUCGGGUCGAG
This 516-nucleotide long non-coding RNA is filed under the name Ananas comosus (pineapple). RNAcentral's name for it is "long non-coding RNA (ACOM_LNC042678)". The record is from RNAcentral. Lineage: Eukaryota; Viridiplantae; Streptophyta; Magnoliopsida; Poales; Bromeliaceae.